GUCCAGGUCAACGCGAUUCAUUUUCCGCAGAUCCAUCAUCGUCAGCAGACGUUCUGUCUGUCCGCAGUAGGAGGAUGUGUGAUAGGAUACGGAUAGGUGUACGUAACAGGAUAUUGAAGAAGCGAAACGAAAUGAGGAGGAAUAAUCCAAGGACUGUUGUUCGAGGAAUGUUUGAAGAGCUUAAAGUCUCCACAGAUGGAGUUUUUAGAGGCUUAAAGUUUCCAGAGCUGAAAGAAUCGCUCUUCUCCGACGGAAACGAAAAGUUAUAGUGUUUUAUUUUGUUUGGAAAGCAUCUACCGUUAAUAAAAAGAAGAUACUUUUUUCGCACAAUAGAGAAAGUGAGGAUUUAUGGAGAAUUAACAGUCCACCAGUAGAAAAUUACUCAAACUACGUAGUACUUUCGCUAGUGUUUCAAAGGGAUAUGCUAAAUUCGAUGUUUACCAAGGGCAAUAGAUGUAGAAAUGUGCUCCUAAAUGAUGGACUCUAAAGGAGAAUAUGGCCACCUUUUUAGGAUCUUUGUAUUUAUUUGGAACAACGAUCUUGGAUCGACCUUCAGCGGCUUGCGGCUUCAGGGGCUCUCUCUGGAUGUCAGACGUCGUUUUGAAUUUUCAGUUUUAAAAUCUCCAAGAUUGCAAAAAACAAAGAAUUUUAAAGGGUGCUUUCCGAAAUAUUUCGACUAUUGUGUGGAGCCCCAAAUAGUUUCGAAAUCAAAUACAACUUCGGACGUGUAUCGAACUGAAGUAUCACAUAAACAUGUACAUAUGUAUGUAUAACUUUCUCAUCUUAUUACUUUUUGUUCUUUUACUUGUACGGCCCUGCCGCUUAUGGAGAAAGGUCCCCGGAAGGUGCCGCCUGUCGAUCCCCUGCAAGCGCCUCAUGGUCCAGAAUGAGACUUUGGUAAGGGUGUUCAAAUGAAUGUACAUAGCUUGUAUAUCAUCGCCACCUUCUCCGCAAGGAUCAUCUACAAUCAUGGAGAUUUUCCCGAUCCCAAAAAUGCAAAUCAAACCCAGAUCGGCCCACAAAUCUUAGACAACAAAAUAAUAUGUUAAAAAAACUUAUUAAAAAUAAUGCAUUUUACUGCAUGGUAACUACACGGUAACUACACGUCAACUACAAAUUUCGCUACGUAUUGGAUGUAAUUUUAAACAGCGCCAUCUGAUGGGGAAAUGUGUACGUUUGGUGACAAGCUUGUCCGUUCUUUUUCAUAUAGGUCCUUUCUCCACUUUUUCGUAUGACUUUUGAGAUUUUGUAGCCAAUCGAUCGGAAAUUCAAAGCUGAUCAGUGAUCACGAUAGUGGUGAUAGGAGGGGGUGGGACACGCCCCAAAAUGGAUUUGUUAAAUAUGCACUGAGUGAAUGAAAAUCGAAGUACGUGAUUGGACGCGAUUAAAAAUUAUCGCCUGCGAUAGAGAUAGGAAAAGCCCCCGAUCAAACUUCAUUGAACUGCUGCACCCAGUCCCAGUCUCUUGCAAGGCAAUCGAUACAGAAAUGCCAUGGACUUAUAUUUUGGUAGAUCAUACAUGUAGGUGUCUGCGCGAGCUUAUGGCUGAGAAGGUGGCCAGCACGGAAAUAGGACAAAAUCCAUUUAUACAGAAAGAAAAAAGAGAAACAUCUAUUUUUGGAGUGUUGGAAUUCCCAGGGAAUUGUCAAUCCCAUAUUGUCUAGUGGUUAGGAUACCCGGCUCUCACCCGGGAGGCCCGGGUUCAAUUCCCGGUAUGGGAAACUGUUAAUGGUUUCUUUUUUUUCGCUGAGCAAGGACCUGGCAAAGAAAAGCUCCUUUUGAUGUGCGGAACGGAACCUGGUCAUAAUCUAUUUUUAGGGAUAGAAAAUAGAGAAAAAAAAUUUUUGUAAUGCUAGAAUCAAUCCCAUAUUGUUUAGUUCUAGUGGAGAAAACUAUAAACAAAUGUAUGACAAGAAUGAAAAUACAA
Long non-coding RNA from Drosophila miranda, 1926 nucleotides. RefSeq lists it as uncharacterized. Lineage: Eukaryota; Metazoa; Arthropoda; Insecta; Diptera; Drosophilidae. The record is from RefSeq and is a predicted model, not a curated record. The transcript has 3 exons.